Molecule: small nucleolar RNA, 107 nt
Organism: Gossypium raimondii (Peruvian cotton)
Lineage: Eukaryota; Viridiplantae; Streptophyta; Magnoliopsida; Malvales; Malvaceae
Rfam family: Plant small nucleolar RNA R71
About the family: R71 is a member of the C/D box family of snoRNAs containing the C (UGAUGA) and D (CUGA) box motifs. Multiple nearly identical copies of this snoRNA have been identified in Arabidopsis, and it is thought to function as a 2'-O-ribose methylation guide for 18S ribosomal RNA.
Source: Rfam
AAUUCAUGCAUCAGACAUUUUUGAAGUAAUUCUUUAAAUCGUUCCCAAGCUUCAUAUAGCGUUUCAUCCUCUAAUUAUCGCAAGGAUGUGAUGUCAUUUCUAAGCUU